This 253-nucleotide ribosomal RNA is filed under the name uncultured bacterium. RNAcentral describes it as "partial 16S ribosomal RNA". It matches the Rfam family "Bacterial small subunit ribosomal RNA", at positions 524 to 776 of the family's 1533-position model. The record is from RNAcentral.
UACAGAGACUGCAAGCGUUAUUCGGAUUCACUGGGCGUAAAGGGUGCGCAGGCGGCCGAGUGUGUGAGGCGUGAAAGCCUGGGGCUUAACCCCAGAAUUGCACCUCAAACUACACGGCUCGAGGCUGGAAGAGGGCAGUGGAAUUCCCGGUGUAGCGGUGAAAUGCGUAGAUAUCAGGAAGAACACCAAUGGCGAAGGCAGCUCUCUGGGACGGUACUGACGCUGAGACGCGAAAGCGUGGGGAGCGAACAGG